Molecule: long non-coding RNA, 38587 nt
Filed under: Volvox carteri
Lineage: Eukaryota; Viridiplantae; Chlorophyta; Chlorophyceae; Chlamydomonadales; Volvocaceae
Description: long non-coding RNA (VCAR_LNC002274)
Source: RNAcentral
CGUAAAAAAAACCAAUGCAAUUUUACAGCGGGUAUAUGAUCAAACGAAGUAAAACUUGAAACAUAAAAAGCAGGCUGACGAAGCUGCGCAUCCUGGCCAUUUCUGCAGUAUCGUGCCAUACGAAGAGUUUAAGCAGGGAUACUGCGUCUAAACACCUUGAUUCAAGCAUCUGCAGAUGCGACUGUGGGGCGGUCGAAGAUAAAAUGCACGUUGAGAGAGGUGAUCCAAUGGAUCACCAUCCACACUUGCAGCGCGCCAGAGAUCUUCCAUGCCAUAAAUACCAGGGGCUUUCACAGCUAUGAAGCACAACCCAAUAAGCAGGACAUGCCUCGUGAAACGAUGUCUACGUAUGAUAUUGAGCCAAAAGAUGUUAACAUGUGCGCAUAACAAUAGGCUCAUUCAUACAAAGCCCGAAGCCCGAGAAUUAACAACAAAGCAGGCAGAGCAAACACGUCCUUGGAAGGAGUAGCUGAGAGAGGUGAUCCAACGGAUCACCAUCCACACUGGCAGCGAAGCAGAGACCUUCAAUGCCAUGAAUACCAGGGGCUUUCGCAGCUAUGAAGUACAACCCAAUAAGCAGGACAUGCCUCGUAACACGAUGUCGACCUAUGAUAUUGAGCCAGUAAUGUUAGCACGUGCGCAUUGUAGAAAAAUUAUUCAUAAAGUUUCCGACAUUUAACCUACUAAUAUUUUAUAAGGACGCAUACCACGCGACUGCCUUGGGAAGCGUCCCUCAAUGUCGUGCAGUUGGUUCCGGAGGAGGCGCGGACGCCAUCCAUACGUCUUCGUGUCUAGUCCGUCCUCGUCAAUUUUACUGAUCAGCAGAGGGGCAGAUUGUUUUAUCGCAAUUUUACUGAUCAGCAGACGCCUGUCAGAAGCAUGGCUGGAGCUCCUGGAGCGUAUGGCUUCCGUGAUCAGGAGCAUGAGCGCACACAUCACACGCGACAUCACUUAGUAUGACAUGGCAUAGCAACCUUCUAACGCAGUCUGAACGGUAGCUGGAUUUGAUAGUCCUCCUACAUAGCAGUAUCCUAAUUGCCAAUCAUUGCGGUGCCCUAACCUUAAUCCAAUACCAGUGUACUAAUCGUAAUCCUGGAUUUAGGUAUUUAUCCUAAUCCUGGGGCCGGGUCCCAAUCCUAAUCCUGGGGCCGGGUCCCAAUCCUAAUCCUGGGGCCGGGUCGCAAUCCUAAUCCUGGGGCCGGGUCGCAAUCCUAAUCCUGGGGCCGGGUCGCAAUCCUAAUCCUACACUCGGGUCCUCAUCCUAAACCUGGCCUCAACUUUGUAUCCUAAUCCUGCCCCUCUUUCCGAAUCCUAAUUCCUGCCUGACCGGUACCCGAACCCAAUCCCUAUUCUUUGCAUCCCUCUGGCGAACUUGACGUUUUUUAGGAAGAGUUUUCAGUUAUGAAGUCUAAGAUGGCCUUGCUUUGGGUAAAAUCCUUGCUGAAAUACUUCUCCCUGGAGCUAUGUUCCAAAAUAAAGUCACCUGUUAGUUCAGCCGUCCUAGCAUAUAACGAUAGAAUCCAGCUAAAUUUUACCCCGAAAACCGCUUCAGACAGUUUCGGGGUACCCGAAAACACUCUCCGGCUGACAGGAAAAUUAUCGGGGAGGGCCCCGAAAAGUUAUUCAGAGGGCUUCGGACACGGCCGAAAUUUUUGGGUACCAUGGUGAAGAACCCUGCUCCCGCGCUCUGACAAGCAUAGCCCCACAGCAUCAGCACUGCUGCAACAAGCACAGCUCCCACCACGUUGACACUACUCUAGCUACCGGCCUGUACGGAGGCAGGGGGCCCCCGCCUGUUUUCUGGCUUCGAGGAAGCCGACACCCGAUUUGUCUGUUUUUGUUGCCGGUAUUCACUCGAAUCAGAUUGUUCUCCGCUUGUGUAUGUGAUGGAUCGUCCAGGUUGCAGGCUGUCUGCCUCAUCGUGGUGUCGCGGGCGAGUGGGGAGUCCCUUGCUGGCGUAUAGGUGGUAGGCGUUACCAGUGUACGGUACUGGGUACGUUUGCUUCGCCUUUGCUGCGUGGAGGGUGUGGUUUGGCGAUGCAUGUUGGCGUCCUGAUGCCUAUUAUGUUGCUGCGUCGUUGAGUUGGGCGCCUCGAUUCUGGGGUUUAGCAAAGGUAAGCAAACGAGAACUAUGCUACCUAAAGACACAGGAGUCGCACAGAGCGGCAGGGAUCCUUAUGGACCAACACCGUCAAAUUCCGCCUGGCUGUGUUCGUUCCGAAGCAGACUGAAGCGACAAACGCUCGUUGAAGCGGAUCUCAACUGAGGAAGAACUCGCAUCACAGAGGUCUACGUAUCUAAUUGCACACUGGCUGCUAGUGCAAAUAGCGCGUCCUAAGGGAGGAAGGAUUGUUAUGUUCGAUAGACGGCCACAACAACAAAUUAUAAUGCUGUGGUUAGAAUGGCAGAACAUACAAGGGUGUUCUGUCAAAAUGUCCAUGGCUGGGAACGUGCUGAUGAUGGCGAAGGAACGGGUGCACCAUUGGUUCACCCAUAGCGCAGGAGUUCAGCUGCACAGUCCGGCGCCAACAUUCCGCGUUGGGUGCGCCAAAGCGCUACGACAAACAACCUGAUAACAUUACAUCAAGCCAGACAGUCCAAUUGGAAUGCUUUUGAGUCGACUUGGACAUCUGCGCAAGAAUUGCUCCUAUGCACUAAUGUGCAGAGAUACGUGGAGUUGUGCCACAACAAAACAAUGAAGACUGCAAAUUUUCUCAGAGUUGUGCAUACUGGCUUGGGAAUGCGGUGCGGCAUGAUGCGGCCAGCAUCUUCGCGCCUUGCAACUUUAGCUCAGUUUGCAUGAAUAUAACCAGUACAACAUCACAGUACUAGAGAAGCAGUUUGUUUGAGGAAGUACUUGAAAGCUGAACAACUAACUCCAGGGUGGGCCUCACUUUGAGCCAGGACCCCCAAAGCGGCUUGCUGUUGAUAACGUCUUGUUGGCUUAGAUGCGACGGAGCGAAGCGACCGGAGCUUCUAAGGCUGGUUCUGUGGUGCUGUCGUAUAACUGGGUCGCAGUGGCGACUUCAUUCUUGCUGCUCUCCUGGUGAAGUCAUUCUGCCUUCACACAGAAGAGCAUACAGCCUUGUCCAACUAGUCAGCGUGACAGGCUGUACUUGGACCCCCAAACCGGCUUGCUGUUGAUAACGUCUUGCAUGUUGAUACGCCUCCUGCGGACUUGUCCCCCAGUAGGGUCUGCAGAUUGCAUACAGAUUUCGUUCGGGUCUUAUUCAAAGUGUCCCAAACUUCGUCUUGGAAGACGCCCACAUUGUUAAGCGCAAGCUAGUAACAGCCCGACGACCGUUUGUUAUCUCUUCCAGAAUGGCACCCGAUGGUGCCCUGGAUGUGGAUGUGCAUGGGCCGGACAAGGUAAGAACGGGUUGGACUGCGUCUGACUGAAGAACUGGCAGGGUGCACCAAUGGUGCACUUUUCUCACAUUUACACCAAGUCGCGUUCCAUGCCUGUUCUAUUCCCAAUGGUGUUAACCUUCUGCAGAAGCAUCAAAAGCUGGCAAAAUUGACGGGGUUGGGCUUCACCAGGGACAUGGCCGAAGCCAUCGUGGAAACGCUUGGGAUGGACCCCAUCGGGCAGUCGGCCGAUGCCGCCAUCGCCAAAACAUUGUCUGAAGAAGGCUUGGUGGACUUGGUGUCAAUGAAGACCGUGGCUGGCGGUAAGAACCACUUCAGCCUAAUUUGGUUUCACCGCUUGCUGAACAGGACUGGACAGGACUGACCAGGACUGACCAACCACUACAGGGUAUACUUUAUCCGACGCUUGCACUCUUUGCAAUGGGUCUUGUUUUAGGUCGAUGCCUACGCCCAUACCAAUGGAAGUUUGGGACCCUGGCAUGUAACCGACUUUGUGAGCCGCUGCCUGUGACGCCGACUCCAUUCGGUUUUGUUUUGAACGAAAGGUGCAAACUUGCUGUUUUGUCACCGCCUGCUUUCUGUCUUCCUUGCUGGCACAGAGGUCGAAGUCAACGCACGGCUGGCGGAUGCGGAUUCCGAGGUGGCAAUCAAGUCGCUGAUGGCCCUCGCCCCGAACCUUAAAAGCUCUCCAAGCCCUCAAGCUUGCAAAAGCAGCAUGUGCCCCGACUGCGCAGCCCGCUGACGAGUUGGGCGAGGAUACGUCACCACGGCUGGAGAAAAAGCGCAGGACUAAUGAAGAGAUGGCCAAGGCCGUGUGUUUGAGUUUGGUUUGCUAUGGGACGCGACUUAUAAGCAGAACUUCCUUGUGUUUGAGUUUGGUUUGCUAUGGGACGCGACUUGCAAGCAGAACUUCCUUGUGUUUGAGUUUGGUUUGCUAUGGGAUGCGACUUAUAAGCAGAACUUCCUUGUGUUUGAGUUUGGUUUGCUAUGGGACGCGACUUGCAAGCAGAACUUCCUUGUGUUUGUUUGAGUUUCCAUGUAAGCAACUAUGGACAACUAAACCAUUCAUCCUUGGCCUGUUUUGCAGUCCUGUCAGUAUUCCCAAUUCGGCACCUGCAGCCUCAUUUUACAUGUAAAAUGUACAGCAGAACACCCAAUUCUAAUCCUCCAACUGUGUUCCCAAUCCUAUGGCAGCGAGCUCAUCCUAAACUUGCGAAAGCCUGCAAUCCCCGUCCUGUCGACCAGGGUCCCAUCCCCAUCCCUGGCCAGGGCUCCCAAUCCCCUCCUUGGUCAAGGUUGCAAUCCCCAUCCCUCAGACAGGGAUCCCAUCCCCAUCCUCACCCCCGACAGCAAUCCCCAUCCCAAAAGUAGUGUAGCACCCCUAAUCCCUAAUCCUCGCCCUGGGCCCCACAUCCCAUCCUGACGUCGUCAACCCUAUUCCCCAUCCCGCCUGGCCAGUACCUGCCCCCAAUCCCCCAUCUCUGCAACCCUCUGGCUGGGGAGUCUAACAUCAGAGUCGUCCAUGCAUUUUUGCUUCACACCAAAUGGUUGACACUCACUGCAAACAACACAACAAACCAGGGCUUGACUCAAUCAAUUCAUGCAGUGUUACUGCCCUCCUCAACCCCAACUGUUGUAUCCACUUCCACUGUUUAGGUGGUAGUGAAAACUACCGAUUAGUGAAUGAAGGGAGGCUAAAUGCCUCUGUGUUAAGGACGACUUGUACAGCAAUUUGUACGAUCCGAGAAUAUAGUCGUCAACGCGAAUUAUCACCAAUUGGUGCAAUCGUAACCCAAGUGGGUCUACCAGUGACAAGUGUCAUGAUUAUAGCAAGAGCGCUAUAACCCAGUAUCACGCGUGAUAAAAGAUAGGCAAGUGCCCAACGGUUAACCAAGUAAGAGUGAAGAUAAUGCCAAGUGGCGAAGUGCCAGAGUCUCGGGAAAAUUCCGAAGGUAAAUAUGCAAGUAUGCCACAACAACUAUCCCCCCUCUGGACGCAGCGUCCUCGCAGCGUUAGUGGCACGAGCCUUGACUGCUUGAAGUUCUUCUCUGGCUCCCGGCUAUUAUGUUCAUUAGAAUACCCGGUCCAUUUGACGAGGUACUCGUGCACCAGCCCCUUACAGCGUCUUCCUAGGCGGCUAGCACGAUAAUCAAGUCCCUCUUCAGCCACAGAACCGGCGGCGGUCCUGCAGGACUAGAAAGUGCAGAAGAACUGUCGCGAACAGUUGAAGAAUCCAACGCAUCCGCUGGCGCCUUGUAAGGCCGCAACAACGUUACGUGGAAGGUGGGGUGGAUGCGCAUAUCGCACGGUAGGACAAGCUCGGCCGCUGCUUUCCCAACCAUGCGCUUCACAGGAUAAGGACCCACCCAACGCGGCAAUAAUUUACGGGGUCCGACGGCUAACUGCCGCAGAUUUUUCGUACUUAAAAGCACUAAGUCGCCUCCUUUGAAGGUCACUUCGACUCUGCCGCGGUUGUAAUAACUAGUCGUACGGUCUUUGGCUUUUUCCAGACACUGCUUCGCUUCUGCAAUACGAGCAACAUACGACUUAAUAAAGGAUUUGGCUGCCGGGACCGGAACAUCAAGUUCACGUGAGACGGGAGUAGCUGGGUGGAACCCGUAAUUUAAGAAGAAAGGAGAUUGUCCCGUAGAGCGAUUGACAGCGCUGUUCAUCGCAAAUUCUGCAGCCGAAAGAUAGGUGUCCCAAACGCGAGAGUUGUUGCCAGCGCAGGUUCGCAGCAUAUCACCCAAUGUGCGAUUCAUGCGCUCAGUCUGACCGUCAGUUUGUGGAUGGUAGGCAGUAGAAAGUGCCAACUCGGAAAUUAGCCAAAGUGCCAAGGGCUCCCCAAAACUUGGCACCAAACUGAGGUCCUCUAUCAGAAAUAAUCGAUUUGGGAACACCAUGCAAACGCACCACGUUAUCAAAGGACAGUCGAGCGGUUUGCUCCGCAGUAACUGUCGUGGUGGUCGGUACCAAAUGUACCAUCUUGGUCAGGACAGCGUCAUAUCCUCCCUUGGAAAGUCCGACGACAUAGUCAAGCGACACACUCUCCCAAGGCGAAUCUGGAACCGGCAGGGGCUGAAGUAAGCCCGAUUGCUUACCAGAUUUUGUCUUCUGAAGUUGGCAAACGUCACACUGCUCAACAAAGGAAGCAGCAUCACGAGCCAUCCGUGGCCACCAGAAGUUGCGACGGAGCAACUCUAUAAGGCGAGUAGAACCCACAUGACCAGAAAGCGGAUCCUCAUGCACAUGGGAAAGAAUAUCACAGCGAAGCAAAUCAUCGUUAGGGACAACCGUUUAAUGUCGAUCACCAUCAGUGCGGACCCAAAGACUGCAGCAAAAUCAACCCCCGUACCAUGCAGUGAAGCGUCCAAAAUAAGCUCAACACGGAAAGGCUGAGAGUAUUUGGGAAAACGCAGCACUAUAUCGUUCGCAACAGCAACAGCACGUUUGAUAGCCUCAAAAGACGCAUGACAUUCAGCAGUCCAAAUGGUCAGCGGAAGAAAACGCACCCUUACAAGUUACAAGUGCCGCACGACUGCGGGGGGUCCGUCAAAGCCGGGAGGCCAUGGACUAUAUAUAUAUAUUGAAAGUUGGUUACAUCGUACGACCGACAGCGGUUUGGGUCCUGCCAACUAGACCCCUCCUCAUCCAGUCACCCAACAUCCGUAGAGACAGAUCAGCCACCGCCACCAUCUCAGCAUGCGAAACUUAGUCCAUCAACUAGACCUCAUCUCCACACCUCAGUAGCGUUAGUAAACCUAGACCUCCCGAACAAUGUCGGGGGACUGACCAGGAAUCGAACCCGGAACCUUCAUAUACACAAAGGCGCCACCAGACCAUUACAUGUAAGGCCCAUCAACAGUGCGGCAAGGGACGAGUAAUUGGCAAUGAACUUGCAAAAGUGAUUGGUAAGCCCUAGGAACUUUCGCAGUUCAAGCAAUGACGUCGGGACAGGCCAGUCACGCACCGCAGCAGUCUUCUUAAGGGUCCAUGCGCACAGAGACCACAUGGCCCAGAUACUCAACUUUGGACUUCGCCCAGUGGCACUUGGACUGCUUGGCGUAAAGCUGUUCCCGCCGCAAAACGUCGAGCACCAAACGAAGAUGUUGGAGGUGCUCUUCCUUCGUCUUAGGAUAGACGAGGAUGUCAUCCAGGCAGCACACGACAAACUUAUCGAUGUACGGCCUCAACAACCACGCUUGAAAGUUAGCAGGGGCAUUAACAAGGCCGAAGCUCAAAACCGUGUACUUAAAAUGACCGAAUGGAGUGCCAAAAGCGGUCUUAGGAAUAUCAGACUCAGCAAUGCGAAUCUGAUUAUAUCCCUGCUGCAGAUCUGUAGAGCUAAAGUAAGCAGAUCUGCGAAGCUUAUCAAGCAAAUCGUCUACACGCGGAAGAGGGUACCAGUUCUUAGUGGUCAUGGAAUUCAAUCCACGGUAAUCUAUACACAUGCGUAGAGAACCGUCCUUCUUACCCACAAACAAAAUCGGAGCAGAGAAGGGAGACGUACUCGGACGAAUCAUGCCUUUAGCGAGCAGCUCAGUAACCUGCCGUUUGACCUCAUCAAGCUCAAGAGGGCUAAGCCGGUACAUAGGGCAUGCGACGGGUUGGGUGUCAUGCACCAACAUAAUUGUGUGAUCCACAGGACGAACUGGAGGAAUACCCGGGAUCUCACGGACGACAUCAGCGUAUUCCUCAAGCAGCGCAGAAACCUCAGGGUCCUCCAUCAGCGAGCAAAACAUGGGACCAGUCGAAGAGCGGACCGGGAGGUGUAGCCGUUGGAUGAGGGACUAGCACCACGGGCUCCCCACUAGUGCCCACCUGCCGGACAAACGAAAGGCGCUCCUGGAGAUUGCACACCGGCCAGUUCAGCACAUCGUUGAACCAGCUGUAGCCUAUACCUGCCUUCAAUAGCACCACGGCCUGCUUCAUAUUCCCCGCCUGAUACUCCCACACACAUCUCGCAAAAAGUAGCCCUUGGAGGCUGUGUGUCCUUUCCGUACACCAAAAGCAAGUUGAGAAUCACAUUUCAUCGUCAUGCAUUGCCCUCUGCCAGUCCAUCCGUCGCCUCAUCGUUAAAGGAAGUGGCCGGACCCGCGUGUUUGCAGCAGCACAAAAACACGGAUCCAGGUCGAUGCCGCCUGGCGCAAAAAGCUCGUGCACCAGGUCCAAGAUGAAAUCUGGCGUGUACCAUUCCGAUGUAUUGCUUUGCAUGAACAGACGCAGGCCGCCAUAUUGCAGCGGCAGUGCAACAGGUGCAGCCAAUGCAUGCUAUCGACGUGGGUCUUGGACUUCACCCGGCCCCUGCAUUUCGACUCGUCAACCAUUGCAGGAUAUCCUAUUAUAAUUACAUGGGCAUUAGACAGGCAUGGAAAGCGACUUGGUGUAAAUGAGGAGAGAAGUGAACGCAUAGUGUACUCCGCCAGCUCCGCAGUCAGAACAACAUUCGUACCUUGUCCAGCCCACGCACAUCCACGGCAGCAACGUAUGCGCCAACAUAUGCCUUAACAGAGGAGAUAAUGAAAGAUCGUCGAGCUGUUUGACAAACAGCUAUUCAUGGUUGAACGGCCCUAUUUGCCUAAAAAACCAUGCUAACAGAUCUCCUUAUACUUCAUCUCCUUAUACUUCAUCUCCUUAUACUUCAUCAACAAUCGUCUCCUGCUAGCAAAAGGUAAAUAGGGUUCAUUCGUGAAAUUCACGAAUGAAGAAAUGAAAUUCACUCUUCAGAAGAGUCCCUUGUAGUUUGCGCUAAAAAAAGUGUUCGUUUUCCAAGGCAGAGUUCGGGACACUGUGAACAAGAUCAGAAUGUUUGUGUGUAUUCUGCGGCCUCUACUGGCGGUGUAUUCACAGGCUGCAGCCAGCUGGCCGGGAAGACGGCCGGCCGCAUCAUGCCGUACCGCAUCCCGAAGCCAGUAUGCACAAUUCUGAGAAAAUUUCCAGCUUUCAUUGUUUCAGAGGCUAUAUUGGCUUCACUGCGGCCUCAAUACAGAAAUACGGAGGGCCCUAUGCCAACCAGACGGAAUUGCACCAGUACAAGCCAGAGUUUGGGUAGCUUUCGUCGGCUUUCGUUCUCCCAGUGAGUAGAUCGAAACUGGCUGACGUGGUCAGGUUACAGCCGAAGGCACACGAAGUUGCGCCACUUCGUAAGGGAAAAUAACGGCAAAUUUACUCUCAAAAUUGCUCUUACAUGUUCCUGUUCGCCUCGUUAUUCAAAUGUAAGAAUCCCCUCAUAACUCCAGAGAGGAGGUCCCCAUAACACGGACAUUCGAUAUGAAAGCAGCAGUAUGGCCCACAAUAAGAUACAUUUACGAACACGCAUGAGAACAUUCUGCCGCCACAUCACUUAAGUAACAUGUAACAACCACACACACACUUAAGUUCAGAGUCUGUUCACGGAUGACCGGCCCUAUUUGCCUUAUAUUGCCACUUACUAGCAGGAGGCGAUUUCCUUGAUGGUGUAGUAUUUUGGAAAUCUGUUAGCAUGGUUUUGGAAGGUUUUUAGUUCUAAUAUAAUAUUGCGAAAUUGCAGUGCAUUCGGGCCUGUAGGCGGGCCGUAUUCCUGCAGUUUUAUGACGCGGCCUUUCGUCAAAAUAGGGCCGGUCAUCCGUGAACAGCACCUUCUCCGCUUUGGGAUUAUGCAUGAGGCCCGAGAACGGCAUGCUAUAAGCCUCAUGAGCACCAGACACGAGCGAUUACUGCCGUGUUGUUUUCUCCCCUCGUUACCAUCGAAGAUGGCCUGCUAAGUUGACAUUGCACAACUAGUUAGGCGGCAAACAUUUAAAUUGUACAAUCAAAUGUAAUGGUUUUGUUUACUUACCUGAUAAAAAUGCAUGGCUUCAGAAAUAAGCACACUGCUAUCGAUGCGGAAUUCGUUGCUUUCACGGCGCCCGCCGUCUAUGUAAAUGACUUGCCUUGGUACGGGGCGAGCUUCGACCAGGCCCAACUGCUAGUUUCCGAAGUCAUUGUGAUAAUUUAACGACAUAAAUAAUCGAUUUGGUCUAGACUAUUGUAAAGCUACAGGAGCAGUUUGCUAGGCCUCGCGUGCCGUCGCUAGCCCUGGGCUGCUAUCUAGGACAUAACUGCAGCCAUCUGAAGGGAAACUGGCGUUCUUUCCUGUGUGAAAGCUUAUUAAUGUCAUACACUGAGCUGGCAAAGGUUUCCCUCCUUGCGAUGUCGCGAACGUAUUUCGCGAACAGCAGGCGCAAUUACAUGGAGGCUUGCAUCCCCCUGCAUGCAGGCCUAUGACUCAUGACGUGGUCCUGCGAAGGCCAGUUCAGCAGGCAGCGGCACAACUUCUCCAGUACAAUCCACGGAACCGAACCCCGCCUGGAAGGCCCCUCUGGAAAUCCACACAGCCCUAAAAGGAGCCCCUUCCCCUAAUUACCUUCCCCCGUACCGCGCACGACAACGUACUCGUUUGACCUAGUACACACAUACUGAUAAUCUCGCCGCUGGUCCAGGCGAUUUGAAGUGAGCUGAACGCUGCCGACGUGCUUGGCGUUGCUUGCUGAACGAUUUGAAGGUAUCAAACCUCUGAUGCAAUGAAGUUGCAACUGAACAUGUGACUACGUGCCCUGCCCCCCAAAAUGCCAAGGCAUCCCGGACUUCUGGAACGGGUUCAUAUGUAGACAAGAAUGCAUAGCGGGCCACCACGCGGAAACCCUUUAUGAUGCAAAUGAUUUGCGAUAAGCUUAUAAAGGAGAUAUUGAAGAAUGUGCGCGGCCGGUGCAGCUGUCUACUCAACCAGAACGGUAGUAGGGUGUUCACACACCCCUCCAUAUGUUGGGAAGACCUCAGCCUCAGUAAAUAGCCUAUGCUUUGAUCUGAAUGAAUUGACACCUGCAACUCAUACACCCGUCAUGGAGACGUUGCUUGCACGUACCGAUAUGGCACAUGAUGUGUUGCAAGCAAAGCAGCGCAAACAGGAUUUGUUACUUAUAAGCGUAAAGGAUUGUGAGACUGUAUGAAUAAAAUGUUAGCGAUGUCUGAAUUAUUAUGGUGUCAAUAAAGUUACCAGCCGUGUACGACAACUUCGCUACUGAGGCACUAGCAUAGGCACAAUGCGUUCACCUGUCACUUUCAGGCUAAACUUUUUUAAAUGUUGCCUGGGUCUAGCUAGCAUGCGUUUAGUUGACCUUGGUAAUCGACUGCAAAACCGUAUCUGUAGCCUUGAAGCGUUCGUGGAUAAUAAUUUUUAGACAUUAGGAGUUUUCAAUGACAUACAUUAAUAAAAGUUUUACAAUAAUUACCCCUCGGUGUUUCCUGGGUCCACAUUUGGGUGCGUAUUGACUCUGCUUGGCUCCACCGCUACUCCCAGGACUGACGGCACCGGGUGCCAGGAUAGGUGAGUUACAAGGAGAUGCAUAUUUUAUUGCUCGUGUUUUACAUUUGCGGCUGCUGUUAUCAUAGAUUAAAAGCCGUCCGCGCCAGCCAUUACCUUACGUACUUGUCACAUUUUGUAAGACGUUCUAAUUUUAUUUGCAGGCGCACUGCGAGCCGCUCGAAUGCUGCCCAGCUGCAUCUUCGCGCGAUCUAUGCGCUUCGUUGAAGUGGGCAUUACAGGAACUGCGCCGCAAGCCGAGGAAGUCCAGCGUCGCAGUCCGAGGAACAUGACAGCACUCAGAAAAUUCAGGCAUCUUGGCGCGAUCUUGGCCAUAUCUGCGCUCACUGCGCCGCUGAUGACGCAAGCCGAGCUCGUUGCAUCGAUAACUUUCUACUCGGUCAAUGGGCCUUUUGACCCCAGCUCUUGUGAUUUACUAGACUCAUACUUGCCACCGUCUCUAAAUUAUGUCCCGAUCAACUUCUUCAACAAGAAUAUUUACCGAACCAACUGCAGCAUCACGAACUCCACGGGUCGCGUCAAAUCUAUCCUUACGUACAGAUCCCUUUUUGACAGCUUAACUUCACUGGUGAGAUUUCAUUAUGGUGUUCUGGACUAGCUGUGUCAGGAUGAGCUGUAGUACCCGCUGCGCGCAUCCGAGCAGGGCCACUCCAUUUUCGCAGUCGUUGUUACGUUUGUAUUUACGCAUACUAACUCCAUUCCCCGGGGGCGCGAUACUCCGCAAAUACAGAAUACGGGGUAGCAGAGUGGAUUUUAAUUACCGAUUGCAGCGGUUUACGCCUGGGCAGCAGUGUGUGUCUGCGUAUGUCUCCGCGUGCGUGUCGUAUGCCUGUGCCUGUGUGUAUGUAUGUGUAUGUAUGUGUAUGUAUGUGUGUAUGUAUGUAUGUGCGUGUGUUUGUGUGUGAAAGACGGGAUGUUUUAAGGGCACCGGACCGAAACCCAAGAAACCAUAAGGGCUCCCCGGCUGGGGCCCCGGAGAUGGGGUCAAGGGAUUGCUGUUGCCGUCACGGAGGCGGUUGGGACACUACGGGCUUUAUUAUCACUUGAUCUAUCAGCGCUUGUGGGAACACCUCUGCACGGCCACGAAUGUCGCACGCACACCCACACACGCCCACACCACACCACCACCACACACGUACACAGAACAUGCACGUAGCGAAAAGGGGCUCAGAGCAUGGCAGAGGCGCCGCUGGUUGCAGUGUUCAUGUCCCCCUCUCCCCGUCCGGGGUUGCGGAUGGAAGCGGGAGUCCAGCGGGACACUGCCGGAAUGGGGUUGGGGGGUGUGGGAGAUUGCAGCGAGCAGCCAGAGUAGAGAGCAAGCGGGGGGCAGAAGGGCAGAGGGCGGGCACCUCACGAGCACCACCAACACCACCAGAUCGGGCCGGAACACACACAAACACUCUCUCCAACACACUCCUACAUACAUACACAUACACACCGUAUCAGACGCCCGGGAACGAGGGUCAUUUCCUCCUCCCUGCCCACCCCUUGGCGGGAUGGUCUUCGGAUCCUGCGGUUUGGAAUGGUUGUGGUUUCCUUUCCCCACACCCACCCGCCACCCACCCCGCAGGAAAACCUCAUCAGUUUCGCCAACGCAUUGCGGGAUGACACGUUGUGGCUGGCGCUGUUCCAGUUGGUACUUGCUGGCUGCGGUGCAGAGGCCUUUUACACGGACCCAGCCGUUGUAGCGGGGCUAACUCAGAACAUCACAGUCUGCACCAACAACCCCACCUCCACCAUUCUUCCGCCAACCGCCGGCACCAGGUGCACGUACUUCCUGUCGCAACAGCUCUGUAGUCCGCCGCCGCCGCCGCCGUCGCCGCCGGGGCCGCCGGGUGCCAGCCCGCCGCCAUCACCACCGCAGCUGCCGUCACCCCCGCCACCGUCACCACCCAGCCCGCCAACCCCACCGCGACCCCCGCGGCCGCCAUUUCCCCCUGGUUUGGGGCCCUGUAUCCUCAUCACCAAAGCCAUAAGGUCCGCUAACUGGACCUCCCAAACGACCUGCACCCAGCUAGUUAAUGCAAUGACCAGCUUCUACGCAUUUAACGCCCAACUUUUGCCAGAUCGUCCUUUUCGAUGUAUCGACGACGGCUCGACGAACGGGCAAAUGAUCGUUGUGGGUACCGCAGCGAGUCGUGACGACGGGCGCCUCGUCGCCACCAACUUCGGCCAGAAGGUUGUUGUCGGGGCCACCAUUCGGGCACUUGGCGGCAUGCAGUGCAACUCCGUCUUCCAGCUGGAGGGUGGCUCCUGCGGCGUAUACGUACGGUAUGACAGUUGGUCGAACCCCGAUCUCUUUGAUUGCUAUCCACCGCCGCCGCCGGUGCCCAACCCACCGAGUCCUCCACCGUCACCCCCGCCAUCGCCGCCGCCGCCGGGGCCGAGCCCGCCGCCACCGCCGCCACGACCACCACCGCCCUCACCACCGCCGCCGCCGUCUCCGCCACCGCANNNNNNNNNNNNNNNNNNNNNNNNNNNNNNNNNNNNNNNNNNNNNNNNNNNNNNNNNNNNNNNNNNNNNNNNNNNNNNNNNNNNNNNNNNNNNNNNNNNNNNNNNNNNNNNCACGCAGUGAAUACAAACACUUGCCCAACUUUAACGCCAGCAGCUCAUUGCCGUACAACAAAUGACAUACCUUACCAUGUCGGUAAGGCGCAUGUUGUGGCGUGUCCCUCGUGUAAUGACCAUCCAUCCACCCACCCACCCACCCACACCGCAUCCACGCAUCCACCCACAUACACAUACACAUCAGCGUUAUUUUUUUGUGGAAUAUAUUUCGAACUCGGAAUGAUAUAAAUUGUUCGUGGUCCUGAAAAUUAAACAUAAUUAAAGUUCCGACCGUACAUGUUCAUUCCUCCAGCCAAAAAUGGACUGUCCAUGCCAAAGCCGCUAGAAUCUUACACGAGACAUACAUGUUAACCAUAUCAUAGUACUUUAAUGCCAUGGAUACUGCUACGAAGGUCACGCCCGAAAGUCAACGAGGAAUCGGACUGUUUCUGACCCGACCUCACGCUGCAAAACAUUCGGACCCGAAGCUCCCAAAGCGUGGAACGCAGAUAUUUAACUGAAGCCAUUAGCGACGUAAAUGAAGACGGUGUAGAGGUCGUAGGCAAUGUGGACGCAAUGCUGCAGCCAGCCGACGACAAUGACGCCACUCCGGUUGUCAACAGCGAGCGGGCCAAACAUCAACGAUCGUCAUAUGGAGACAAUCGCGAUGGGCCAGGAAACAGGUUGCGUUUGGCGGUUCCGGUUCAUUGCUGCUAUGCAUCAUUAUUUUUGCAACCCGGAAAGUCGUGUUGUGUUAUCUUUCAACGUGAUGCCAAACAAACAAUGGUGAACGAACUCUAUUCGAUCAGUGCUUGAGAGAUUGCGGUGUGCGCGUGUUGCGACAUUCCCCGAACCCGACGUUUGCACGAACUAAACUGUAACUCAUGGGGGGGGGUUCGGGGGUGGGCUCCGGCCCCCCCCAGCGCCUUACAGGUUCGGAAUACUUUUAUUUCCCCGACUAAAAACCUACUCCUCCGUUCGGACUGGAAAUUAACCGGCAAAAAUGAAAAAAGCGCUGAUACACAUACACAUAUACAUACACAUAUACAGAUACAUACGUACAUACAUACAUACCCAUACGUCACCAGUAGGAAAAAUAAAGGCCAGAGUUAAAUGUGGUCCUAUGGACUUGUUGUACCCAUAUGAUAUUCUGCCAGUAACUGACGGUUUAUAUUCUAUGUUUUCAUAACCUGACUUCCCAUGCUCUUCCCCGCCCUUCCUUCCCCCCUAGCCCAACUCCUCACCUUCGCCCCAAGAGUACACAGUUUUCCCCACAUCUUAGGCACUACGGGGCUGCAUGCACCACCACCUAAUGCAUGCGGGUUGGCGGAAGCCACAUGUGCCCCUGGUCCACGUGCACGCACACACUUCUCUCCCUAGCAACAGCCUCUCCCAUUUGCCUUUCUUAUGCGUUCUUUCCACCCCAGUUCUCAAUUUCUAGCUUCUUCACGUUCCUGGCGGUGUACACGACGUCCAUUCCGUAAUCGCGCUGUCAAUUCCGUCAUCUAGUACGACGCCUUCUGUGUCGUCCUGCGCCGCCUUUGCAUUUCUUUUUCUUUUCAGCCCCUGCGUUUUUACCACAUUCCAUAUGGUCUUUAUUCUUCUUCCCGGUUUCCCCAGUCUUCCAGCAUAAUAGUCCCUUCCAGCGGCAUUCGCAUGCAAUCUUUCCUUCACCGGCCGCUACUCACAACCUUGCAACCUCUCUGCCUCGCAUGUGCCCUUGCCCGCCGCUUCUGCUGCCUGGCCAGGUGAGUCCGAGUAGGUUCGAGCUUUGUUGGUAUAUCGCGUUGCGUCGGUCGGCUAGCCGGACUAGGAUGGUCGGGUCGAUCGGGUCGGGCGCGUGUUGGGGGUUUGGAGGAGCACAUGCAUGUCACCAGCAGCUUAUUACCAGCUUGUCAGCCAGUUCUGUCGGGGUUCCUCAAUUCCGCCGCCAGGCCGGCGAACCAUUUUUUCCUGCUUACGUCACCUCUUUCUCAACUCACGUCAGUCUUUUGCUCUUCACCGCCUUUACACCUACCUUUGGAUGGUUUUCCUGUUCUCGUUCCGCACAUUAUUUUAGUUUUGGCGGCAAGGUAGGUAGUAUCGUCAUGACUAUAUCAUCGCGAGGACUCUUCUUCACAAGCGCCCACCGUUUAGCUAUGCCUUCCUUACUUCUGGCGUAUCAGUCUUAUCUCGGCAUCAGCUUCACUCGUUCGUGGUUCAUCUUCCCCCCUAACCCACCACGCCUUCUCCUUCCCUCUUCCCCCUCGCACGCAGAUCCGCAUCACGAACCCCAACCAGGACGCCAUCUUCUCCAUAAAUUGCACCGCCCUCCGUGCCGCCGUGAAGGUGUCGCUGCAGGCAGCGGGGCAAACCCUGCUGUCGGACGUGUUGUGCACUGUGGGCUACAUCACGGGGGACACGUACCUGAACGUUCAGCUGCAGGACCCCGUUUCGGCGGCACAGGUGGGGCCGUGUGCGGGUGUGCGGUUAUGUAUAUGUGUGUGUGUUACAUGGUUGGGGGGUGCGUGACCCCAUACCUGUAAGACUACCCAUACGAGCCGAAGGCCCAAGGGGAAUACUACAACGCCUAAAAGCCACGGAGAAAAGGAAAAACACCGCACAUCAGCCCAGACUAGCGUCCAAAGGGGGUAAUUGAGUCUCGGUGAGCCCACAUACGUUCCAACAUCCUCGCCAGACGUGUAUGUAUACGGUUAUGUAUAUGUAUGUGUGUAUAUGUAUGUGUGUGAAUGCAUGUGCGUGUGGGGGGAGAGUGGCCGGUGAUACCCAGAGACUCCCGUAUUGAGUGAGCUUUUCAAGGGCUUGAUGUCUGUAUGUUUUUUUCGCUUGAUCCGGAAACCUUGAAGCUCCUAAAUCCUACGUCGUAACCCCCCAGGCCGGUUUUGCUCUCCAAGGUUUCUUGGCCACCCUGAUCACGGUGGGCCAGCUGCCGUGCAACAGCGUCCUUGAGGAGUCCGUCACCAACUCCUGUAAGUAGGCACCCAUCCAACUAAGCCUCAGGCCCCCUCGAACAGAUCUGAUCGGAAUCUAAAAAUCGGAUACUUUUUCCUCCUAUAUAUAAUCGUCAGGCAAUCUCAGAUGCGAUCAGAUCAAGCGCCGCGCUCAUCUCAUUCGGUUUGUUGAAGAGGCUUGAGGCCCCUACCCUGUCCCGCUCUUUGCUGGCGGUGGAUCGCCAUUCUUCGUUGACAGCACCGCUGGCCCCGUUACGUUACCCUCUUUCCCCAACAACGCCCCUAUGUUUGUAUAUCUGUUUGAGAGUUUUUUUCUCGCUUUCCUAAAGCCUUAACUCCGCUUUUCCUAAAUCUCCCCCCUCCACUUUUUCCCUCCUCCCUUUCUCCAUGGGUUCCUUGCUCGGCUCGGGCUCCUCCAGUGUUUUAUUUGUCAAUGAGCUGCUUUGGAAAGCCAGUUUUGUGCUGUCCGAGUCCCCCGCUGGGGCCACUCAAGCCGCCAAGCCCGCCAUCGCCCAGGCCUCCACGGCCGCCGCCGCGACCGCCCCCGCCGUUGCCGCCAAUCCUGCCUGCGGUAAUUACAAGACAGCCACCGCCGCCGCCGCCGCCAACGAUCCAGUCGCCGCCGCGGCCGCCACCAAUCCGGUCACCGCCACCGUCACCGCCACCGCCGCCUAAGAAGAAACGGAAGAAGAGGCCGCCACCGCCAAGCAAUCUGGGUUAAACAGUACCAAAGAAGGCCGCCAAGUGCUUCCGCCUCAACUGCACGGUUAUUGCCGCCGCCUCCAUCACCAUCACCACCGCUGCACCACCGCCCUCCACUGCCAUGUUGCAGUUAAUAGACCCCAACGAGCAGUUCCUGCUGACAGGGGAUUGUGAGAACGGGAGGGGGAAGGUUAAGGACAGGUAGUUGGGGUUCCAUGGCGAUGAUGUUGGUGGCGGCGUCAGGGCAUGCAGUACACAAUAACGGUGUGACACAGGUGAUCCUUCCGGCCAUCCUUCAUUCCUUGUGUGUGUACGUGUAUGCAUGUAGAUGUGGCUGGGUACCAUCUGGUGAUGUAUGAUGUGUGGGACAGGGGGCCAUAUCUUCACCCGUGGCCGCUACCCGGCGAAACCCUCCCUUCCCCGGUAUUUCGGAGCACCUUCAUCUAGUCACCCUAGUCAACUUCUCAGUGGAUCGCUUAGGUUCCGCACCCACCACCGGCGUCCAACGGAAUCUGCCGGAUCGACGGUGGCCCAACUCCAUUCCUGGUCAGCUCGUGAGUCAACUUUAUCGCAGGUCACCACGGUCCAUCGACUAGGGGCACUUUACCUUCCACCAUCGGAAGGAUUUUCGACCCCGAAAUUUUCUGGGGGCAAUGGUCCGUGCCUUACCAGUAAUGCCUAACCUGGGUAUAAUGUAUGUAUGUAUGCAUGCAUGUACGCUCGUUCGUUACAAUUAAUUUAUGUAUGGUAUUUGUUGUUGUUGUUGUUUCAUGGUCGUGGGUGCAUUCCCUGUACCUGCAAACCACCCUAAUACGAGCCGAGGGCUCAAGGGCUGCCAAAUCGCCUAUAAGCACCAUCCUACCUCGCACUUCCAACGAGACAAGUGAUGAAGUAUACUAACGACCAAAGGGAACGAUAGAGUUGUGGUGAGACCAUAUGCGUUCCAGCAUCCUUGCCAGGCGUUCAGGUUCCCACUUCAUAGCGUCCUUCAUAUGCUCGAAGCGUGGAAAGCCCAUAUCAGAUCUGAUUUCGUCGUACACCGGACAGUCCAGCAAAAUGUGUUUCUCAUCCUCGAUGUGGCUAUCAGUGCCGCAGCAAGGGCAUACUCGCCCCUCCCUAGGUAUAUAACGCCGUCCCUUACGCGCUCUGUUAGCCGCCAGUGCCCAACAGCAAAGCCUAAACUGCAUAAGCUUGCGAUUCGCUGAACGUGGGAUAAACAUUGUGAUAUGCGGGAGCACCUCCUUCCUGCCCGCUUGCUCGGCCGCCAGACCCAUCCAAUGCUUAUAUUUCGCCAUGUGGAUUCCUGGUAUGGAAGUAGUUGGCUCGCAUUUGCUUCGCAUUGCCUCGAUGAUAGUGCUGCUUCGUGUUGUCAACAUGCGCAACAUGUGUCCAUGUGCCAGCCGUCUGUCCGUAUGUCUGUGAUGUAUUCCGCCGUGUGACCAUGAAUUUGUGUUGUGAUAGAGUCGUACCCGUACGGGCCUUGCACCGGUUGUGUCUGCAGGGCCAUUGUGGUGGGUGACUAAGGGACGCUUUGGGGCUUGAGGGGUUGGGGGCCCCUCUUGAGGCUUGACCCCCUCCUUUCUCUUCUUCCUCUUCAUCUCAGCCCUUACUUGUCCCGGAACACAUCCGGACGUGAAAGAGAAAAGAGCGAGAAGGGGACAGGGGCAAUGCUGCAUGGCCGACCAGCAACAGCAGUUAGGGGGUUUAUCGGUUGAGUGUGGCAGCUGCUGUAUAAGGCUCCUUGGGGUCGCCUGGUAAUGCUGAACCAGGUGCCGCUGAACCACUUCUGCCGGAAUAGGUUUCUCUAAGUAAGGUUUGGGUGGGUAAGGCGCCUGGAAGAGUAGUAGCUGUACGAGCAGUAGCGAUUAAAACAAUGACAGCAGUAGCAGCAAUAGUAAGGGGGAAAAGGAGGAGGGUGUGCUGCCGCAAUAGGAGAACAAAAAGGAGGAGGGUGUGUUGCCGCAAUAUGGACUUACGAUUUGGUGGUGAGAUAGGCAGAGGAGGGUGGCGGUGAAGGAGGAAGAGCAAGGGGAAUCGACCCUGCUCAUGCGGGGGAUCGCGCUUCGCAGCCCCCUCGAUUGCCUCCGCUAGCUCGCGGAGCUGACAAACAGGACUCACUGGCCUGAGGCUGGUGAUCCGCUGAGCUGGUGGAGGUAAUGGAGAUGGAUUCUUGCGGUUGGCAGUCGGCAAUGGACGCCUCGGGCGUUCCUACCUAACUUAACCCUGGGAGCCUUCCCGGACGGUGCAUGCGUCCAACUGAUGGUGGGUACCGUAGAUCCCACAAAUAUGUUCUAUAGCCGCUGUCCGGCUAAUAAACGUUUAAUAGGGAAACGCCUUAGCAUAAAUUCACUUUGCGCAGAGUCACAUCGCAGCAGUACUAACGACCACUCCAGGGCGGGCCUCACCUGGCCGAAAAGACAUUUGUGCAAACAGUCAGACAUGUACUUGUGAUGUCGUUACAAGGUGCUUACCCUUCGAAUGUAUGUGUUUCGCUCGACGGCAUGGAUACUUUAAACCGUAACGGCCCGCUCAAUGAUAGGAUAUCCUUUCUGCUGAAGGAGGUGAAUUUCGGUGACGCCAUUUCACAGGAGGGAUUUCUUCAGCUGUACCGGGAGCUUAGGGCCAGUUAUGAGUGCCAAGAAAAUGCAUCACCUGCUUCAGACUACGCGGUCAGGAUUUUGUAUAAAGCAAUCUUCCGGGCGCCCGGAGUUUUCUUGAAAUAAUGUUUUGCUAUGCAGGGCGAGCAGGAUGAAGAGGUCAAACAUCUUUGUACACAGGCGAGCCUUCUUUUCGUGGCGCGCGUACUUUUCGCGGCGCAGGCGCAAGGAGGCAGAACAGUAUCCAACUUUGGCUGUCCAAUAUCACGGAUUGUUGCUGCUGCGGGCAUUAAGUAAGUUAUGCACUGUGGCACAUCUGCCGCUGUGGCGAAGCAGUCAAAUCUUGACACUCGCUACAGUCUUCUUGAUUUUUUCCGCGAGGUGAAUGUCGUGGUCAGCAAGCUUUCUUCAUACUUUGAAGCGCGUGGGGGUAGUUCGCGAUUGUUUGCGCAGCAGGCUCAGCUGAAGGAGAAUUCGGAGACUGUUGUAGUCAUGGGUUUGCUCGCCAAAAAGUACAAGGUUAGUUCCGUAGUUCUCUCUAGUCCCCGCUUGCGCCCUGCUAUCUUUCGGGUCAAUCUUGCAGGACAAUUUCGGCAUGCUUCUGCAUCAGUUAGACUUCUUUAAGCAGAUAGUGCUUAAGCUUGGGUGGAACGCAUUCCUUGUGCUACGGAUCAAGCUUUUGAGUUCCUUUCCCGAUGUCGUCAGGUACUUUCGAUAUGUCCGUAAAACUCAUUGAUUGCUUUACGCUCAUUUUACAUGUUGAUUAGAUUUAGAUCAAUCAGAUACCAAGUGUAUGUGCACCUGAUGCUUCUGGCGUCGUUAUGAUGGUAGCAUGGUUUCUAUGUACGCAGUUGCGUUGAACUUCUACCGUGCGUUUUCGCCAUCCUCGUUAGUCACGCCCCGCAGCUUCCAGACUGCCUUAGCCAUGUCAGUGGGGCAGAAUACCGUUCAGCACUUCUCAAAUCACUUUCAGGUAUGAAUUUGGAUAUGUCUUGGGUGAUGCCUAACCAGUAGCGAAUGGGGUUGAUUGUCCACGACCUCAGCGCCCAUUUCAGCGAGAAAUACAUUACUGACACACAAGACCUGCUGUCUGCGCAGUGCUUAUGAGUGCAUGUGUCUUGGAUGGGUGCGCAACCAGGGCCCCACAUAUCAACCUCCUUCCUGUUGCCAUGCCUGCAGAGAUAUGCAAGGCAGACUACAGCAGGGUGCAGGCGCGUAUUCCCAGUGUCGAAGCUCUGCUCUCUCAUGUCCUGACGUCUGCUGUUCCAGAAUGGCGGGAGGCGGCGUCCCAUGCCCAAUUGGAAUCAAACUUAGCAAAAAGUGCAACCGCAGCGGAAAAGUGCACAUUUCCGGGGGUUGUGGACCUUGUAUCUAGUAAGAAAUUUCUGGUGCAUUGAUACAUGUUUUGGGGGGCGGUGAUGUAUAUUUUGAAAAUCAAUGUUGGGGGAAUCUCAACGCUGCACACGCAGCUGCACUGUCUACGAUCUCCAUAAACUAAUUCACUUAGUUUUAAUCUAAAAGCGAUAAGUCCUUAAACUCGUUUGCGACUGGAGAACUUCCACUUCCAUGCAGGUCGUUUGCUGGAGGGCCUUGUCACAGAUGGCAAUCGCAUGCAGCGCGCACUUUCUGCGUUGGAGACGGAAUACGCGCAGCAUUACACACGCGGCGGCAGCGAACUCGAUGAAAGAGAGUUCUUGUUCACAGACUUCACAAAAUUUGCAUCGCCCCGUUUUUCACCACGGCACAUGCAGUCUGCGGUCAUGAAGCUACGUGCAGGCCCAUUACCUAUCCGCCAAGGGUCACUUUUGGGCCCCGGCGCACACACAACAGCAUCGUAUGCAAUAUCGCCAUCCUCGAUGAAUCCCAAGACGUCACUGCUGGCACGGAUGCAUUCGCCUUUACCAAAGCUUAAUCUCGGCGUUGAGACUGGUCCACCUGUAACGCCGGUCUCAGAGAUAAUGAGCACGUCUGCAUGGCUUCGUGGCAUAACUGCCAGCCUGGCAGCUGAGGUGGGUAUCCUAUGCAACUUCCAGUCGAAAAGUAUUGUUCUCAGUUCUAAAUGAAAUUCACGCACGGUUUCCUUUCGAAUCGUCGAACAUGGAUGUGUUCGCGAUGUUGCCCCUCUUGUUAAUGUGCAGCCGUCCCCAAGCGUAAUGAGGUAUCUUGCGGAAGUGGCGGUACCUCCUGAUGGAGAACAAGGUGCCUGCGUGACUGUAACUCUGUCAGCUGCAGAGCAGCUGAAUCAGAGAGUUCAAGAGUUGGUGAGCUGCAUCAUGCCAGAAGAGAAAAUUCCUUCCCUUUUGGGUUCAUUUCCUUUGUUGCAACCGUCGUUGGUGUCAGAGCGGCGUAUUGAGGUCACUAAGGUAUAUUACCUUAGCCUGGAGCGCAUCUUGCAGGCCGAGGAGAAGAACAACGGUGUGGCAGGUGUUACUUCCCUCCUUUCAGCUGGCAAGUUCCAUCGCGCCUUAGUUGCGUGUUCUGCCGAGGUGGUGACUGCAUGCUAUCGCAUGGUUUCUUGUACGUUCCCAAAAGUAAGAAUCCCUAUGGCGCAAUGUUAACGCUAAGGAAUGUCAUUUUGCUUCUUUUGACAGUAUUUUGUCUGUUCUUGGCCUCAGGUGUUGGAUGCAUUACAUAUCAAGGCGUUUGACUUGGCCAAGAUGAUACAAUGCUUCGUCAGGAGUAUUACAACGUUGCCCCGGUCUGUCAUCUCUGUUGGAGCCAAUGCGUGGGGAAAUUCAAGCUUAUUGGGGUUGAUUGAAGCGCACUAGAGGCUCGGUAGCUGCCAUUCUCGCACUGGUAUGCGUUGUGCUCAUGAGUUCUGGUUUUGUGAGGACUUGAAAAGGUCAAGGUCUAUUUGACCUGUGGUGUGUACCCUUGGUGGUCAUGCUUGUGAUUAUUACGCCACCACAGUGACAGCCAUGUCGCUUUGAACCGUAACUUCUAUGCGAUGUGGACUUGUUCGCAUUAUAAUGCCAUGACUGCAGGGAUCUCAAACGGCACCUUUUCCUCGUUGAAGAAAAAAUCCUCGAAUCCUUGGCGUGGGAGGCGGAUUCUCCACUCUACAGCCUCAUUUGCAGCACCGUGGCCCAGGAUGAACUUUUGGAAGAGUGUGCAACUUUUGAGGACGACACCAGUAAGCUAGACACAGGGGUGCUGCAAUGAAGGCAGGCUGGCUAAGGAUUUACGUAAUAUUAACGGAUCUGUGACUAAGGUGCUGCAAACAGGCAAUGCUGAUAAUCAUUUGAUGCUGUUUUCUGCCCGACACAGCUGACAAGACAAUGCAGGCACCUAAGUCUCUGGUGCUCAUCCCCGAUACAAGUGCAUCACCCCUGUCAACGAAGAGACCACAAGACUCGAACGUGCUUGAGUUUUCUCCGGUGAAAAAAGGUAUGCAUAACAUUUAACCUAUGAUCAUACUAGCGGUACCAAUAUUAUAUUAUUACUACGUAGUAGUAAUAUUGAAAGGCCUUAUUACAGCGCUUUUCUUGUCUUCCCCUAAAGGAGAACUCGGUCCUAAAGGGGAUGAAGAACUUCAGGAGUUCCCCUUUAUUCAUCCCCUAAAGGGAUUAGAAGUACCAGUAUUUGUGGUUAAUUCAAAAUUAACAUAUGAUAGCAAGGUAAACAAAACUGCCUUUACAAUAUCAAUGUUACCCAUUAUUUUUACGUACCUUUACAUAUAUAUAGCCGACAUCAACUAUAUAAAGAUUGCCCAGUGUUGAUAAUGUGAAAUAACAUUCACGUUAUCAAUUUUGGACAAUCUGUGUCUUGUUUUCAAAUCAUCAUAUUAAUCUGACUUGUCCAGUGAUAAUUUCAGUAGUUUAUGGUUGGAGCGAUAUUUUUUCUUUUUUGCUGUGGUUUUUAGCAAUAUUAAUAAGAUUCUUAACAUUACAGUAUUAACUUUAUAGGCCGCCAAUGAUCUGGUAUUGGAUGGCGUUGCUAAUAAUUCUUCUUCAAAACCUGCAAUAGAUUAUCAAGUUUGAAUGCUUAAUCAUCUGCCCACAUAUCGUCCUCCUGGAGAUUAGUAUUGCCAGGUUGGCAAAAUACUAUUGCCAGGCUGGUCUUAGAUUACCGCUCUCUUCUUCCCUGUAGCCCGCAUGGAGGGGAGCCAGCACGCUGUUCAUCGUUAUUUGCGAAAGCUUCCACCUUGUAUUGGAGCCAAGUUCGUAGAAUCCGCUCACACAGAUGGUUGCGCGGCAGCAUUAAACCAUUUCUGUUGUAAGGUAAGAAAAUGCUAAAGCAAAGCACGAAAAUUAAACCUGUUGGUUUACUUGCAUGACGCGAGCUUUGCUGCAGGUACUGAAGCUUGCCGCCUUCAGGCUUGCGGUCUUAUGCGAUAACUUUGACUUCAGUCCCUUGCAACGUCUAGAUGUCAAUACAAAGGUAUGGUUAUCUAAGCAUUCCGAGCCGCUUUAUUAUGGCAAUACUAUUACUUGGCCUGAUUAUCAUGUGUGUAGGUGUAUCAGACCAUCGAGCAUGCUCUGUUCUUCCAGACACACUUGUUCUAUAAUCGGCACAUCGACCAGAUAAUCCUCUCGGCACUUUAUGGUUUUUGCAAAGUUCACAGGCUGGCCCAGGUUUCAUUUCGUGAAAUAAUCGCACAUUACCGCAAGCAGCCUCAAGCACAACCGUCCAUAUUCCGUUCGGUCGUGGUUGAGCAGUCAAAUCCAAGCUUGCAGGUAGGUUGCCAUCGCUGCCAAUGCUACUUCGCUGUGAGGCAUGUAAAUGUGCCUGACGGCUGAUGGUAACUUUUGAAUAACAGCGUACAAAUGGUGGUUUUUUCCAGGUGGGGAGGCGUGCCGAUAUUAUUGCGUUCUACAAUCAAGUCUUUGUACCUUGUAUGAAGUCUUUUUUACUGCGGAGUGGUAAAGGAGAGUAUCCUGGGACCAUUGGACCUACCAUCGGCAGCCCUGACAAUGUUACUGGAGAAUUGAAGGGCGAUAUCUCGAUAAGUUGUGGAGCGCCUGCAAUGGAAGGCGAACUGUCAGCAGCUCAUGACAGUGCGGGCAAGAUGACGCAAAUUAUGAAACAGUUAGGGCUGGAGGCCCUAAGAUCACCCGGGACAGAACAUCAGAGGAGCCAUGCUGGUAAUAGGGGGGUGCUUAUGCGUUUUGGUGUGCCUACAGAUAAUGCAGUGGAUGGAGUUCAUGUGAUGGAUUCAGCACAGAACUGUGCGGCGUUACUUACCUCAGCUCAUGAAAUGGAAGUGCGUGCUGGCUUGAACACGUGCACACCUGGGAAGCGAACCGAGCACCAAAUACCAGAUGGCUUAGCGGCACUGCUGCAGGCAAGUUCUUUAUGUAGUUGCAUCAUAUAAAUUUGAAUCAGCAUCACAGGAGCACGUCUUUGUUGCAAUACGUACCCCGCAGGCACUGGACUCACAGCAAGGUGGUGCUGAUAAUUGUGGGACUGAGUCGCAGCAAUACUGUGAAGUGGGAUCUAGACUUAACGCUGGACCUGGAUGGGUACUUCGCCCUGUUGGCCUUGACGGCGGUCCCAAGAGUUGUACAGGCUUAGACCAAAGCUUUAACGGGCAGGCAGCUUGUGCUGGCCUGGAUGUAUUUGAUGAUGCGGAUACCUACGACUGUUCACAAUUUCAGAAGACCUGCAGGCGCCAAAGGACGCCGAAUCGGAAGCAUGGAAGUGACUGAGUCUGAACAUAGUAAACUUUUGCAAAAUUCGGUGAAUUAUUGCAAUCCUUACACAUGAAUGUAUGAAUGAAAUGAGAACCGAGGACGGUAACCAAGCGUGUAGGGUUCCUGCCACUUCCUGGCCCAUGUACAGAAUCAAAACCAACUACCGCGAUUCUGGAUGCCUGCCUGAGAUUUUCCGGGCCGACUCCGCAAUUCGUCGAAAUUGCUCGAUAGAAGGGUUGAAAUUGGCACGGGGUCUACACCUGGGACAAGUUAAAUUGCCGGGACAGGCCCUUGAAUUGGCCUGACAGGGACACGAAUUGGCCUGGCAGGGACAUUCCGACAGUCAGAAUUAGCCUGUCGUGGUGUCGAAUUGGGCUGUUCGGGGUGUCGAAUUAGGGAAGCACAGGAAUUGUGCGACCGGGGCAGUCCAAAGAAUUGCUCUCCCCGACCUUGUGUCCUACGCUCUACUGAACUCUUUGUGAGUCUGGAGCCCACUGUAACAACCACACUGCCUCGAGGCAUCCCUAGCCCUGGCGGUGAAAUGAUAGGAACUAGCCUAGCCCGCACAAGUUCCGCACAAGUGCGGGGGUGUCCAUAAAAGCUGGGGGGUCCAUGGGUGGUAAAUCGUUUUUAGGGCGGUUACAUGGUGGACCAUCAUCGUCCACCCUCGUCCGCUUGAGCACGAAGCGCCUUAGAGCAACGUGCCGGGUCUCCCGGACUUCCGAGAGGAACCUGGCUACUGCCAGGGGUGGGGCCUCGGUGGUAAUCGUGCGCAUGUUGCACCCUUGAAACACGAGAUCACGUUCAUACUUAGCCCGUGUACUAGUGUACACCGGGCAUUCCACAAAGACAUGCAUUUUGUCUUCAACCGGCCCCCAGUCACAAAGCCACCAGGUGCGGGCUGUGCGCUCAUGGCCGUUAGGUCGGUUAAUCUCUAAAUCCCUACAGCCUAAGCGGAAACAUAUAAGCAUUUGACGAAAACAUUGGGGCAUGGCGAUUUCAGGUGGUCAUUAUGGAUUUCAGCACGAGCAAUGAACCCUGCCUGCUCCCCCGUGCCCCUUGCGGGCAAGCAACAGAGAAUCGGGUGAGAGACCGAGCUUUCUAUUAGGGCCUGGUGCCUAAAUAGGGAGGGGUAGGGUCUGUGCAGGGUUUCCGGGUUUCCUCGGUCUUCUUGAACCCUCACCACAAGAGCCAGUCUUCUUAUGUGUUUCAGGCUCAGUGCUCAAACUCGCGUGACGGAGCCUUGACCCGGCUGCUUUGGAGGGGACAGAGGCCCCUUAUGCCCCUCUCCCGUCUGCGGGAGGAGCUUAGGUGGUCUUUCCGUUGGGGCUGGGCAGCAGUCCCUGGCCAGUGUCAGGCAUGGUCAAAUACUUGCACAACACACGCACACGCACGCACACACACACACGCGCGCGCGCACAAGCUCACGAUAUUGAAUUGAAUUAUUACAGAAUGGGAGGCUUCUGGGCCAUUUGAACAUAUUGUCACACAAGCUCGCGAUAUGCCAGCUGAGCAUUCCCGUGCCUCGAAUGCCUUGGUAAAAAACUUAUUGCGGACAUACCCAGCUCAGACAAUGCACGGCUAAUAUCAGGGCAGCUCCAAUGAGUGCUCAGUAAGUUUGUCAUAGCGGUGGCCAGAUCGGAGAGCAAUGGUUGGUCGUCGGCCUGCACCAGCUCCACAAGCGUCUGUGCAGCGAUCUCAUCAAACUUGCGUGGUCUGCGUGUUCCUGUUUGUCCUCUAAGCGGCAGGACCUCGCCAUUCGCCAGGUAGGAGCAUGCACAGUCCUCUCGCAAGGUCUGUGCCCGAAAGCUUCAGCUAUUUGCGCUUGCGUGUAAUUCUCAUCGAAAUAGAGGUGGCAAACACAUUCGCGCACUUGUUUGCUGUAGUAGUAACGGUUCAAUACAACUCCAAUUGUGAGAUCCGUCCUACAAACUGAGUCACGUAUGCACACGUAUGUAUUCGCAUAAAAAGAAUAAUUGAAAUUUUGCGUGUUCCUUGCGAGUUGCGAGUUGCGACUUCAGAAGUAAGCAAGAGUGCAUUUCGCCUCGCAUCCCGCAAUUUGUUAUGCAAGCAGCCAUAAUGAAUGUAUUGACUCAAGGAUCAGUCUAACACAACGAUAUCGGCGAAGGUCAGGAACACCAUUUGAGGUAAUUAUUGCUUUUCUUUACAGCUUAAAUUUUGCGCAAAGCGGGCAUACUUUCGUAGAUGGAAAUUGCGACUGCUUGACAGAGGUCACAUAUACCCCGCUGGCGGACGGUCCCCUGUCCGCAACGCCGUACAUCCUGACCGUUCCAGCGGACGCCUAGCGGACGGUCAUGGAAACGAUGGUCCAAAGCUCCAAAACAUCUGUAUGUAGAUGAUUCACGAGACGCUAAUAAUUAAUGCUCCAGCUUGCACUCCUUGGCAAGCAAUUAACGCGCAAAACACUCGCCAGGAGAAACUAACCCCAAAAUUGUGACGCACAUAGUCAAAAGGCUUCUAGCAUAAAAGGAGAAAGCAAUCGAAAGAAAAAAGACAACAUCCCAAGGCGCGCGGCGGACAUUCUAAUGACCUGUUUAUGUAACCUGCUUAAAUAACACCAACGCACUGGAACAAUUAAAUCAUGCAAUAAGGUCAUUGCAAUGGCCACAAGCACUGGGCAUUAGUGAAAGGGAUUCAGCAAAAACUGACCGUCACGCCCAACACGUCGUUCCAUCCCUUUGUCGGCUCUGAAUGGCACAAUGAAUGCUCUACUGGGUAAAUGAUCAUUUGGCGGUGGAAAUAGGCCAUUGUAUGGCAUCCGAGCUGGCGCACAGCUUGCGCAUGUCCCCAAGACCCAACACGGCACCACGCCCCGCACCCGGUUAUGCCCUUGUCCUGCAUUCCGCCUGCCAGCCUAUCUGUGCAACACAGCGCAUGGCGGACAGGCCAACCAAGCCAUACCAAGGUUUCAGUGAAGACUGGGGCAGAGGGGUGCAAAGUGGUCCUAAUCCUCUAAUCCAGGGGGUGGGUACCGGUCAGCAAUCCUCUAAUCUCAACAGGGUUGGACCACUUCUAAUCCCUAAUCCAGAGUGGUGGUCUAAUCCAUAUCCUAGGGUCGGGGUCCUAAUCCUAAUCCUGUGGCCGAGUCCCAAUCCCAAUCCUGGGGGGGUCCCAAUCCUAAUCCUGGGGCCGGACCGCAAUCCUAACUCUGAGGCUGGGGUCCCAAUCCUAAUCCUCUUGGUCGUGUCGUAAUCCUUAUCGUGGAGCUGUUAUCGUGUGACUGAUUCGGUAAAACCUUAAUUUUGGCUGGGGGGCCCAAUCCUAAUAGAAGGGUGCCGUGACACGGAAACACACAGUGCCAUACAGGCGCGAGGCGAUGGCAAUGCAAGUGCGUAAAAAAACCAAUGCAAUUUUACACCGGGUAUAUGCUCAAACGAAGUAAAACUUGAAAAAUAAAAAGCAGGCUGACGAAGCUGCGCAUCCUGGCGAUUUUUGCAGUAUCGUGCCAUACGAAGAGUUUAAGCAGGGAUACUGCGUCUAAACACCUUGAUUCAAGCAUCUGCAGAUGCGACUGUGGGGCGGUCGAAGAUAAAAUGCACGUUGAGAGAGGUGAUCCAAUGGAUCACCAACCACACUUGCAGCGCGCCAGAGAUCUUCCAUGCCAUAAAUACCAUUCUGUGUUACUGUCUCCCUUAACUGGUUCUGGUGGCGGAGGAUUGGCUGACCCGAUGGUGCUGAACGGUGCGGUUUGGACGAUUUUUUGGCGAGAAUUGCACCGCUGCCAAGGGCCUUACACAGCAGGAAGAGCAAGCAGCCAAGCCUAUCAGUGGCCGCGCGGCCCAACCGGCCAGCAGGCCGCCCGUAGCCACGGGGGCCGCGCGGCCGACCGCGGCGCGACACACCAGACAGCCAACAGUCCGGAACACACCGCGGAAGGGCGCCAGCGCCCAACACCAAAAAACCAAAACAAAGCUAACCUAAGAACAGAAGCACUGCAGCACCCGCGCGCCCCAAAGACCAUCGCACCAGACAAAGCCCGACCGACCAGAAACGACCAGGCACCAACCCCAAGAGGUGUUCCCCCUCAUCCCGGAUGCGGGCGCCUCGGCCCGCCCCCUGAACCACCCCCCUCCCGCGCGCGUGCUGCCUCCCCCUGCCACCAUGCUGAGGGGGGGAGGGCGCCUCUCAGGAGCCCGCCGACGCCAGGCCGAGCCAAUCAGUGCUGCAUCUGGGGCAAGACUGGGGAUAGCGGAAAAAAGGAAGCAAGGGGCUGACAGGAAUAGGGCGGGCGGGGGGCAAGUACAGCCUGUCACACUGACUAUUGGACAAGGCUGUAUGCUCUUCUGCGUGAAGGCAGAAUGACUUCACCAGGAGAGCAGCGAGAAUUAAGUCGCCACUGCGAACCAGUUGUACGACAGUACCACAGAACCAGCCUUAGAAGCUCCGGUCGCUUCGCUCCGUCGCGUCUAAGCCAACAAUUCUGUGUUACUGUCUCCCUUAACUGGUUCUGGUGGCGGAGGAUUGGCUGACCCGAUGGUGCUGAACGGUGCGGUUUGGACGAUUUUUUGGCGAGAAUUGCACCGCUGCCAAGGGCCUUACACAGCAGACCGAAGAGACAUUUGCUCACUGGCGAGGCCCAGGCUGCGGGAGACGGAGAGUUUCGCCUCCCCGUCGCGCCGCGUGUAGUGCUGUACCAUGGCGUCGCUGCACCACCAGCCGUGCGCUUUGCGCAGGUCCUCAGGCACGCCGCGGUCGGCGGCAGUGCUAUUUCCUCCUAUGCGCAUGGAAUGCGCAGUGAUGCGGCGGGUGAUCCCCGCCGCCUGCAGGGUCUUGUUGAGCCGGUGGCAGAAGGCAGGGUACGACAGGGAGUGGAUCGGCUGGGCCACCGUGCCUGUCAGGGGGCCUGACAAGUACCCCCCGGCCCUGUUCCACUGGACCGGUCGCAAAAGGGGCCCGACGUCCUCGUCCGGCGUGUCUGGGCGGCGUUUGUACCGUCCUAGGGUGAGGAGGCGCUCUGUCAGGCCCACGGGGCAAGCGGCACCGCUGACGCGGGCGAUGGGAACCCAGUGACCCUGUCUCUGCUGAUCGGUCUUGGAUCGAGGGAUGAAAACAUCCAUCCCAGUUGCCGUGAUAACCAGAAGGUCCUCGUGAAUGCUUAUCUCCGCAGCAUCGUCGAACCGAAAGAACCCCGUGAACAUGACCACGAUGGCUGUAACGGUCAUCAGCUGGUCAAGGGGCGGCUCCGGCCCACCGACCAGCCGGGCCAGCACCGUGACGUCCGCCGGCUCCAGGGCGUCGCGUUCCAGCUUACGGCCUUGGAGUUGCUUUUCGGCGAGGUCGCGGACGAGCUGCAGGCAGGGUGCUCUGUAGGGGACGCUCUGCUGGCUAGGCGGAAGUAGGAGCUGAUUGCUGCACUCGCUGUACGAACCCGUCCAGGCCCCACCUUAUCUUCCUUGGACAAGUUCAGCAGGGAGAGCAGAUAGAGCGCCACCGCCUCACCCGGGGUGUCGUAGAUGCUUCCGGGCAGGCGCCUGGCCACCCACCACUCGCGGAAGGGUUCCCAAGACCGCGCGUAAUCAUUGGACGUCCGCGGGGCGAGUGUCUGACCGGCCACCUGGGCAAACUGAGUCGCCAAGGUGGAGAGCUCCGUGUCCACCUCCGCGCCGAGAGCGACCAAAAGAGCCUCAGCCUAGGCAUCUAAGUCUGUGCGAGGGGCGCGAUCGGAUCAGCGGGAACACGGAUACGGUUGAUGUUAGAGGCCGAGAAGUCGACCAGAAGGGCCAAGGUGGACCAGCGGGAAGCGCCUUUGGGCAGGGGGCCCCCCGAGGUGCGGGCCAGAAAGACAUCCGCGGCCCGGCCGAGCAAGCGAACUCCACUCACGAAAGGUAUGAACCAGACCCCGUCGGCCGUGAUAAAAGGCCACCAGUCGCGAGUAGGCCAGAAAGGCGCGACAAGGCAAAGCCGGGACUGGCAGGCCUCGGCGUGCUGCAGUACCCUGAGGAGGAGGUGAAAGGGCGGGUUUGCCCAGCACCUGCGCCCCCAUGAGAACCUGAACGUGUCGACUCCGGACGUCGUUGGAGUGAAAUAGCGGGAAUAGUACACGGGGAGCUGGAAAGUCGCGUGGGACGCAAAUAGGUCGAUGUCGAAGGGGCCCCAGAUGUCAUGAAGCCUGCGGAAUAUGCUGGGCUUCAGCAUCCAGUCGUCAGGGUCUUGCAGUUUCGAAAGCGCAUCGGCGAGCUGGUUCUGGCCGCGGGGUCGCCACUCCGCUUGCAAGCGGAUAUCCUGCUCGAAACAAUAGCUGUGCAGCUCGCAGGCGACCUUGUGGGAGUUGUCCGCUUUAGCGGAGCCCUUGUUGACGACAUUCGCUGCAUUAAGGUUGUCGGUGGUGACCUUAACCGACUGACCUGAUAGACCGGCUGGGCUAUCGAAAGAUCGAAUCGCGUUCAGAAUGGCCUGGAGUUCCUGCGGGGUAGACCCCAUAGCACUGACGUCGGGCGUCCACUCGCCACGCGCUGGCGCUAGCUGGCCAUUGAGGAUUGUCCAGGCCCCCCAACCUCCGAGGGACUCGGAGGAUUUGCCUGCGGCGUCGCAAAAAAAAGAGGGAAUGCACUACGGACGGAACCCACAGGUGCCGACGGCCGUUAAACCGAUCAAAGGACGACUCCCAGAAAGACAGCUCCUCCCGCGCGUCGUCAGAGAGGGAGAGAUGGGUUUCCCAGGUCUGCCGAGUUUCAAUAAGUUGACCGAGCGCUCGGGUGCGCAGCCGGGCCCAAGGUCCGAAGGCCCAAGACAUGGCCAGGAGUUGGCCUUUAAUGGAUGCCAAUAGGCGGGCGGUCGAGCGCCGCGCCGUGAGCACACCGUUGAUCUCAGAUAAGAGGCGGUCCCGCUUGUUGCCUGGCACGAUGAAAACGCCGUCCUUGGUAUCGAUAAGCAUGCCCAAAUAACGAAUGCAAUGCUGCACGGCCCCCAGCAUAGAUUUCUCUUUAUUGACCAGGAAACCGAGCGUCUCCAACUGAGCAACCACUUCGGCCCUGCGCCGGACCAAGUUGUCGGCGUUCUGGUCUGCGUGAACCUGAUCGUCUAUGUAGCCCGAGCAUCGCCAGCCGCGUUUGCGCCAGGGGCGCAUGACCUCUCGCAUGAGCUUCGUGAACGCCCAGCAAGCGGAAGCGAGGCCGGAAGGCAGUUGUGUGAACACAUAGAAGACCCCUCUCCAGCAGAAGCCGAGAUAUUCCCAGAACCUGGGAUCGAUAUCGAGGUGAUGAUAGCCGCUUUUAAGGUCCAAAGUAAAAAGAUAAUCGCCUGGGAGUAGCCAACCAGGAACCGCCUUCAAGUCUUCGUAGCGGAAGGAGGGGACGUGCAAAUAAUCAUUUACCAGCCUGCCGUCCCAAAUAAGCCGGAGCUUGGUUGCCUGCUGCAUGACCCCCAACGGGCAAACCACGCGGGGCUGCGACGGCCAUACGCGGGCCGUGCCCGACGCCACCAGAUCUGCUACGGCUUUGUCCACGAACGCGGUGUUGGCGGUUGCCCAAGCGUGAUUGCGGCCGGAGUGCUGGGGGGGGAGGGCUGGAGACCCAACGGAGUGGGAAACCCGACGUGAUCCACGAGAUGACCAGCGUGUUCACAACCCAAGCCAUCCAAGCGCCUUUCUUGCCCGAGAGGCGUCCCCUCAUCUGAGGCGGCACGCAAGGCGGACCCGCUACUGGAGUCGACCGAGAUCCCGAGGUGUUGUCGAAAGUAGGACUAGAAAACUCCCCUUUAUCCUUCCAGAAUUCACCGGGGGCCUCAACCUUCACACCUUCUGGCGCCACCGCGGGGCGGGCGGGUUGUUUCCGAUGCAUGGCCAGACUUGCCGGAACUGGUGUGGGGUCCAGGUUUGGCCGACGGGCAGGGACGGGGCCCGGUGCGGGCCGUUUGGGGGCUGGUAAGUCUUCGGGGGCUGCGGUAGGUGGGCCGCGCGGCUGACCUAAAAGAUGCUGCCCUUUGAAUUGGCUGGCGUUGUGACUGAUGGACAGCUGGACGUUUUCCACAAGGCCCGGACUCGAGAGGGCCUCUACCCCUAGCUCGGACAGGAAGGCAAUAGCAUCAUCGUGCGAGAACGAAUCCAUGGUUCCUCAGGCUGGAAAUUACUGGCGGCUAUGAAGGCCUGCAAGCGUGCACCGGACAGACUGUGGGAGACACGGGCGAGGCGAGAAGCGGAGCAACGCUUAAAGAGUAAGACAGGCAAAAAACGGGUCCCCAGCCGGCCGGCUGCCAAGGCGACUUGAGUGGCCACUUGGCCUGACGCGAAUUAUCCGAUAAGGGAAAAAAAACGGCAAAUGCUGCCACAAAGUGAACCCAUGCGACGGUCUGUUCGCAACCUCAAAAUGCGAACGCGAAAUAAAGGAGAAAAGCGGGAAGGCAAAACACCGCGAGUAAAAAAGGUCAUCAACGAAGCUUACAACUGUGCACGCGGGCGCCAACAACUGCGCACGCGGGCGCCAACAACUGCGCACGCGGGCGCCAACAACUGCGCACACGGGCGCCAACAACUGNNNNNNNNNNNNNNNNNNNNNNNNNNNNNNNNNNNNNNNNNNNNNNNNNNNNNAACCUGAUCGUCUAUGUAGCCCGAGCAUCGCCAGCCGCGUUUGCGCCAGGGGCGCAUGACCUCUCGCAUGAGCUUCGUGAACGCCCAGCAAGCGGAAGCGAGGCCGGAAGGCAGUUGUGUGAACACAUAGAAGACCCCUCUCCAGCAGAAGCCGAGAUAUUCCCAGAACCUGGGAUCGAUAUCGAGGUGAUGAUAGCCGCUUUUAAGGUCCAAAGUAAAAAGAUAAUCGCCUGGGAGUAGCCAACCAGGAACCGCCUUCAAGUCUUCGUAGCGGAAGGAGGGGACGUGCAAAUAAUCAUUUACCAGCCUGCCGUCCCAAAUAAGCCGGAGCUUGGUUGCCUGCUGCAUGACCCCCAACGGGCAAACCACGCGGGGCUGCGACGGCCAUACGCGGGCCGUGCCCGACGCCACCAGAUCUGCUACGGCUUUGUCCACGAACGCGGUGUUGGCGGUUGCCCAAGCGUGAUUGCGGCCGGAGUGCUGGGGGGGGAGGGCUGGAGACCCAACGGAGUGGGAAACCCGACGUGAUCCACGAGAUGACCAGCGUGUUCACAACCCAAGCCAUCCAAGCGCCUUUCUUGCCCGAGAGGCGUCCCCUCAUCUGAGGCGGCACGCAAGGCGGACCCGCUACUGGAGUCGACCGAGAUCCCGAGGUGUUGUCGAAAGUAGGACUAGAAAACUCCCCUUUAUCCUUCCAGAAUUCACCGGGGGCCUCAACCUUCACACCUUCUGGCGCCACCGCGGGGCGGGCGGGUUGUUUCCGAUGCAUGGCCAGACUUGCCGGAACUGGUGUGGGGUCCAGGUUUGGCCGACGGGCAGGGACGGGGCCCGGUGCGGGCCGUUUGGGGGCUGGUAAGUCGUCAGGGGCUGCGGUAGGUGGGCCGCGCGGCUGACCUAAAAGAUGCUGCCCUUUGAAUUGGCUGGCGUUGUGACUGAUGGACAGCUGGACGUUUUCCACAAGGCCCGGACUCGAGAGGGCCUCUACCCCUAGCUCGGACAGGAAGGCAAUAGCAUCAUCGUGCGAGAACGAAUCCAUGGUUCCUCAGGCUGGAAAUUACUGGCGGCUAUGAAGGCCUGCAAGCGUGCACCGGACAGACUGUGGGAGACACGGGCGAGGCGAGAAGCGGAGCAACGCUUAAAGAGUAAGACAGGCAAAAAACGGGUCCCCAGCCGGCCGGCUGCCAAGGCGACUUGAGUGGCCACUUGGCCUGACGCGAAUUAUCCGAUAAGGGAAAAAAUAAAACGGCAAAUGCUGCCACAAAGUGAACCCAUGCGACGGUCUGUUCGCAACCUCAAAAUGCGAACGCGAAAUAAAGGAGAAAAGCGGGAAGGCAAAACACCGCGAGUAAAAAAGGUCAUCAACGAAGCUUACAACUGUGCACGCGGGCGCCAACAACUGCGCACGCGGGCGCCAACAACUGCGCACGCGGGCGCCAACAACUGCGCACACGGGCGCCAACAACUGCGCACACGGGCGCCAACAACUGCGCACACGGCACCAACAACUGUGCACGCGGGCGCCAACAACUGCGCACGUGGGCGCCAACAACUGCGCACGCGGGCGCCAACAACUGUGCACACGGGCGCCAACAACUGCGCACACGGGCGCCAACAACUGCGCACGCAGGCGCCAACAACUGCGCACGCGGGCGCCAACAACUGUGCACGCGGGCACCAACAACUGCGCACACAGGCGCCAACAACUGCGCACACAGGCGCCAACAACUGCGCACGCGGGCGCCAACAACUGCGCACGCGGGCGCCAACAACUGCGCACGCGGGCGCCAACAACUGCGCACACGGGCGCCAACAACUGUGCACACGGGCACCAACAACUGCGCACGCGGGCGCCAACAGCUGCCAACUAUCGCGCACACGGGCGCCUCAAUCGCACGCGCGGGUGCCCAAAUCGAUGCUCGCUGGCAAUCUCAUCAUAACCAAAGAAGAAAGAAAUCUUGUGCACUCUGCACUGACCGGCAAUGGUCCUUGAAGAGAAGAAGCGGCACACGGGCCAUAAAAAAAAAAAAAAGCCAGGCACACGGGCCCCACUCUACUGCACCAGAGCCUGAGAACCACUACUUGCCGCUGCGGCCUUCCUUGCGGUUAUUGCCAUUGCGAUCGCUGCGAUCAAGCGCUCUGCAUCGCGACCUCCACCAUACUCAUGACCGCGCUGGCCGCAACCCCUGUGGCUGCUGCCGCGCGAUCCGCCACCGCUGCCUCCGCCGCCGGAGCCUCCAGCGCCGCGAGAAUGGCUGCCGCCAAGACUGCCAGGCGUGGAGGCGCUCGCCGUCCGCAAGGAACAGUCAUUCUGUUUCCGCACGAGGGCCUCCGCUUUUUCACCUUUUGGGAUCCGUGUGCCGAUAAUGUUGUUAAAGCAGUGAUCUCUGCUCAUUAGCCAUAAAAUCCGCGCGAAACUCAUCUGCCUGGAACGGUGGCUACGGACUCUGUCGAUGGCGCAUUGUCAUUAAUAGUUGAAAUUUGAAGGAACUAAGUCGGAACCGUAGGAACUCGAGCGAUGUAGAUCGGAACUUGAAAUGGUAAGGCUUCAAGUACAGCCUGUCACACUGACUAUUGGACAAGGCUGUAUGCUCUUCUGCGUGAAGGCAGAAUGACUUCACCAGGAGAGCAGCGAGAAUUAAGUCGCCACUGCGAACCAGUUGUACGACAGUACCACAGAACCAGCCUUAGAAGCUCCGGUCGCUUCGCUCCGUCGCGUCUAAGCCAACAAGGGGCUUUCACAGCUAUGAAGCACAACCCAAUAAGCAGGACAUGCCUCGUGAAACGAUGUCUACGUAUGAUAUUGAGCCAAAAGAUGUUAACAUGUGCGCAUAACAAUAGGCUCAUUCAUACAAAGCCCGAAGCCCGAGAAUUAACAACAAGCAGGCAGAGCAAACACGUCCUUUGGAAGGAGUAGCUGAGAGAGGUGAUCCUAUGGACCACCAUCCACACUGGCAGCGAAGCAGAGACCUUCAAUGCCAUAAAUACCAGGGGCUUUCGCAGCUAUGAAGUACAACCCAAUAAGCAGGACAUGCCUCGUAACACGAUGUCGACCUAUGAUGUUGAGCCAGUAACGUUAGCACGUGCGCAUAGUAGAAAAAUUAUUCAUAAAGUUUCCGACAUUUAACCUACUAAUAUUUUAUAAGGACGCAUACCACGCGACUGCCUUUGGAAGCGUCCCUCAAUGUCGUGCAGUUGGUUCCGGAGGAGGCGCGGACGCCAUCCAUACGUUUUCGUGUCUAGACCGUCCUCGUCAAUUUUUGCAGAUUGUUUUAUCGCAAUUUUACUGAUCAGCAGACGCCUGUCAGAAGCAUGGCUGGAGCUCCUGGAGCGUAUGGCUUCCGUGAUCAGGAGCAUGAGCGCACACAUCACACGCGACAUCACUUAGUAUGACAUGGCAUAGCAACUUUCUAACCCAGUCUGAACGGUAGCUGGAUUUGAUAGUCCUCCUACAUAGCAGUAUCCUAAUUGCCAAUCAUUGCGGUGCCCUAAUCUUAAUCCAAUACCAGUGUACUAUCGUAAUCCUGGAUAUAGGUAUUUAUCCUAAUCCUGGGGCCGGGUCCCAAUCCUAAUCCUGGGGCCGGGUCGCAAUCCUAAUCCUGGGGCCGGGUCCCAAUCCUAAUCCUACACUCGGGUCCUCAUCCUAAACCUGGCCUCAACUUUGUAUCCUAAUCCUGCCCCUCUUUCCAAAUCCUAAUUCCUGCCUGACCGGUACCCGAACCCAAUCCCUAAUCUUUGCAUCCCUCUGACUGGGGUCCCAAGCUCUCAGAAUCCCAGAGUGCCAGGCUCCCAGGCACAUAGGCUGCCAGGCACACAGGCUCUUAGAAUCCCAGGCUGCCAGGUUCCCAGGCUGCCAGGCACAUAGGCACACAGGCUCUUAGCAUCCCAGGCUGCCAGGUUCCCAG